GUCCUACGGGGGGCAGCAGUGGGGAAUAUUGCACAAUGGGGGAAACCCUGAUGCAGCAACGCCGCGUGAGUGAAGAAGUAUUUCGGUAUGUAAAGCUCUAUCAGCAGGGAAGAAAAUGACGGUACCUGAGUAAGAAGCCCCGGCUAACUACGUGCCAGCAGCCGCGGUAAUACAUAGGGGGCAAGCGUUAUCCGGAAUUAUUGGGUGUAAAGGGUGCGUAGACGGAGAAACAAGUUGGUUGUGAAAUCCCUCGGCUCAACUGAGGAACUGCAACCAAAACUAUUUCCCUUGAGUGUCGGAGAGGA
RNAcentral lists this ribosomal RNA (305 nucleotides) under uncultured bacterium. RNAcentral describes it as "bacterial SSU rRNA". It matches the Rfam family "Bacterial small subunit ribosomal RNA", at positions 335 to 658 of the family's 1533-position model. The record is from RNAcentral.